UCUCGAAAAUGGCAAAUGUCGUGAAAACGGCAGACGCAAAGCCACGGGUCUAAGGCUUUUUAAUAAGCUAUGACAGCCGGGUUGCCGAA
This 89-nucleotide non-coding RNA is filed under the name Clostridiaceae bacterium. Its description in RNAcentral is "c-di-GMP sequence". It matches the Rfam family "c-di-GMP-I riboswitch aptamer". Rfam says of the family: GEMM was predicted in a large-scale screen for bacterial structured RNA regulatory elements. Genes associated with GEMM are involved in a diverse array of functions, including chemotaxis regulation, signal transduction, secretion and chitin. The record is from RNAcentral. Lineage: Bacteria; Bacillati; Bacillota; Clostridia; Eubacteriales; Clostridiaceae.